UACGUAGGAGGCAAGCGUUGUCCGGAAUUACUGGGUGUAAAGCGCGUGUAGGCGGCAGGCCAAGUCUGUGGUGAAAUCGCUCGGCUCAACUGGGCGGGGUCCAUGGAAACUGGUCAGCUGGAGGACGGUAGAGGUGAGUGGAAUUCCCGGUGUAGUGGUGAAAUGCGUAGAGAUCGGGAGGAACACACGUGGCGAAGGCGGCUCACUGGGCCGGUACUGACGCUGAGGCACGAAGGCGUGGGGAGCGAACGGG
Molecule: ribosomal RNA, 253 nt
Filed under: uncultured bacterium
Lineage: Bacteria
Description: partial 16S ribosomal RNA
Rfam family: Bacterial small subunit ribosomal RNA
Source: RNAcentral